Molecule: ribosomal RNA, 428 nt
Filed under: uncultured Bacillus sp.
Lineage: Bacteria; Bacillati; Bacillota; Bacilli; Caryophanales; Bacillaceae
Description: bacterial SSU rRNA
Rfam family: Bacterial small subunit ribosomal RNA
Source: RNAcentral
UAGGGAAUCUUCCGCAAUGGACGAAAGUCUGACGGAGCAACGCCGCGUGAACGAUGAAGGCCUUCGGGUCGUAAAGUUCUGUUGUUAGGGAAGAACAAGUGCUAGUUAAAUAAGCUGGCACCUUGACGGUACCUAACCAGAAAGCCACGGCUAACUACGUGCCAGCAGCCGCGGUAAUACGUAGGUGGCAAGCGUUGUCCGGAAUUAUUGGGCGUAAAGCGCGCGCAGGCGGUUUCUUAAGUCUGAUGUGAAAGCCCCCGGCUCAACCGGGGAGGGUCAUUGGAAACUGGGAAACUUGAGUGCAGAAGAGGAAAGUGGAAUUCCAAGUGUAGCGGUGAAAUGCGUAGAGAUUUGGAGGAACACCAGUGGCGAAGGCGACUUUCUGGUCUGUAACUGACACUGAGGCGCGAAAGCGUGGGGAGCAAACA